UACGUAGGGUGCGAGCGUUACUCGGAAUUAUUGGGCGUAAAGAGCGUGUAGGCGGUCCGGUAAGUCAGCUGUGAAAGUCAAGGGCUCAACCCUUGAAUGCCGGUUGAUACUGUCGGGCUAGAGUCCGGAAGAGGCGAGUGGAAUUCCCGGUGUAGCGGUGAAAUGCGCAGAUAUCGGGAGGAACACCAAUGGCGAAGGCAGCUCGCUGGGACGGUACUGACGCUGAGACGCGAAAGCGUGGGGAGCAAACAGG
RNAcentral lists this ribosomal RNA (253 nucleotides) under uncultured bacterium. Its description in RNAcentral is "partial 16S ribosomal RNA". It matches the Rfam family "Bacterial small subunit ribosomal RNA", at positions 524 to 776 of the family's 1533-position model. The record is from RNAcentral.